GACGAACGCUGGCGGCGUGCUUAACACAUGCAAGUCGAGCGGUAAGGCCCUUUCGGGGGUACGACGAGCGGCGAACGGGUGAGUAACACGUGGGUGACCUGCCCUCAGCUCUGGGAUAAGCCUGGGAAACCGGGUCUAAUACCGGAUAUGACUCCAUGACGCAUGUUGUGGGGUGGAAAGCCUUGUGCGGCUGAGGAUGGGCCCGCGGCUAUCAGCUUGUUGGUGGGGUGAUGGCCUACCAAGGCGACGACGGUAGCCGGCCUGAGAGGGCGACCGGCCACACUGGGACUGAGACACGGCCCAGACUCCUACGGGAGGCAGCAGUGGGGAAUCUUGCGCAAUGGGCGAAAGCCUGACGCAGCGACGCCGCGUGAGGGAUGACGGCCUGUG
Molecule: ribosomal RNA, 390 nt
Filed under: uncultured bacterium
Lineage: Bacteria
Description: bacterial SSU rRNA
Rfam family: Bacterial small subunit ribosomal RNA
Source: RNAcentral